Molecule: ribosomal RNA, 484 nt
Filed under: uncultured bacterium
Lineage: Bacteria
Description: bacterial SSU rRNA
Rfam family: Bacterial small subunit ribosomal RNA
Source: RNAcentral
GAUGAACGCUAGCGGCAGGCUUAAUACAUGCAAGUCGAGGGGCAGCACGAAUAGCAAUAUUUGGUGGCGACCGGCGCACGGGUGCGUAACACGUAUACAACCUACCUAUAACAGGGGGAUAGCCUUUCGAAAGAGAGAUUAAUACCCCGUAAUAAAUUGAGUGGCAUCACUUGAUUUUGAAAGCUACGGCGGUUAUAGAUGGGUAUGCGUCUGAUUAGCUAGUUGGUGAGGUAACGGCUCACCAAGGCGACGAUCAGUAGGGGAUCUGAGAGGACUAACCCCCCACACUGGUACUGAGACACGGACCAGACUCCUACGGGAGGCAGCAGUAAGGAAUAUUGGUCAAUGGAGGCAACUCUGAACCAGCCAUGCCGCGUGCAGGAUGACGGCCCUAUGGGUUGUAAACUGCUUUUGUACCAGAGAAAACCUACUCACGUGUGAGUAGCUGAUAGUAUGGUAAGAAUAAGCAUCGGCUAACUUCGUG